RNAcentral lists this ribosomal RNA (1016 nucleotides) under Nocardiopsis synnemataformans. RNAcentral's name for it is "bacterial SSU rRNA". It matches the Rfam family "Bacterial small subunit ribosomal RNA", at positions 430 to 1441 of the family's 1533-position model. Lineage: Bacteria; Bacillati; Actinomycetota; Actinomycetes; Streptosporangiales; Nocardiopsidaceae. The record is from RNAcentral.
CCUCUUUUACCACCAACGCAGGCUCGAAGUUCUCUUCGGGUUGACGGUAGGUGGGGAAUAAGGACCGGGCUAACUACGUGCCAGCAGCCGCGGUAAUACGUAGGGUCCGAGCGUUGUCCGGAAUUAUUGGGCGUAAAGAGCUCGUAGGCGGCGUGUCGCGUCUGCUGUGAAAGACCGGGGCUUAACUCCGGUUCUGCAGUGGAUACGGGCAUGCUAGAGGUAGGUAGGGGAGACUGGAAUUCCUGGUGUAGCGGUGAAAUGCGCAGAUAUCAGGAGGAACACCGGUGGCGAAGGCGGGUCUCUGGGCCUUACCUGACGCUGAGGAGCGAAAGCAUGGGGAGCGAACAGGAUUAGAUACCCUGGUAGUCCAUGCCGUAAACGUUGGGCGCUAGGUGUGGGGACUUUCCACGGUUUCCGCGCCGUAGCUAACGCAUUAAGCGCCCCGCCUGGGGAGUACGGCCGCAAGGCUAAAACUCAAAGGAAUUGACGGGGGCCCGCACAAGCGGCGGAGCAUGUUGCUUAAUUCGACGCAACGCGAAGAACCUUACCAAGGUUUGACAUCACCCGUGGACUCGCAGAGAUGUGAGGUCAUUUAGUUGGCGGGUGACAGGUGGUGCAUGGCUGUCGUCAGCUCGUGUCGUGAGAUGUUGGGUUAAGUCCCGCAACGAGCGCAACCCUUGUUCCAUGUUGCCAGCACGUAAUGGUGGGGACUCAUGGGAGACUGCCGGGGUCAACUCGGAGGAAGGUGGGGAUGACGUCAAGUCAUCAUGCCCCUUAUGUCUUGGGCUGCAAACAUGCUACAAUGGCCGGUACAAUGGGCGUGCGAUACCGUAAGGUGGAGCGAAUCCCUAAAAGCCGGUCUCAGUUCGGAUUGGGGUCUGCAACUCGACCCCAUGAAGGUGGAGUCGCUAGUAAUCGCGGAUCAGCAACGCCGCGGUGAAUACGUUCCCGGGCCUUGUACACACCGCCCGUCACGUCAUGAAAGUCGGCAACACCCGAAACUUGCGGCCUAACCC